Procambarus clarkii (red swamp crayfish) is the source of this 2145-nucleotide non-coding RNA. NCBI's taxonomy places the organism in Eukaryota, Metazoa, Arthropoda, Malacostraca, Decapoda, Cambaridae. The record is from RefSeq and is a predicted model, not a curated record.
AACGUCCCUACACUAGUGGUGUUCUGACAAUUUAAAACGUUCACACAUGCUAGACACUCUGGAUGACGUCACUGAGGAUCCGGAUAUGAAGAAAACGGAAUUCAAAGAUAAACAAAUAAUUCCCAGUGCAGGAUGUUUGUGCGUAAGUGUUGAUCCUGAGAGGUGCGUGUGUGUGCUUCUUACGCCCUGCUUCACGCUGUGGCUCGCGCUGUGCUUCACGUUGUGGCUCGCGAUGUGCUUCAUGUCGUGGCUCGCGCUGUGCUUCACGUUGUGGCUCGCGCUGUGCUUCACAUUGUGGCUCGCGCUGUGCUUCACGCUGUGACUCGCGCUAGGCUAUACCUGACAUGAUUUACGCUUUGAUUUGCCCUGCUUCACGCUGUACGUUACAGUGACUCACUGCUGUGUAACGAGUCAUACCACUGUGAUUCGUUACAGUGACAAUGGGACAUCACAUACAAUCUCGCGAGCCGCUACCAAUUUUUUAGUACAUCAGUUUUUGACCUUAGAGCGAAAUUAUACUGCAAAAUUAAGAUAAGGGAUAGGAGGAGUGGCUUGGCAAAAAUGUAAAAACAUCAAUGCUAUGUACUCUCAUAAACCCAAUGUACCUUGUUGUAUAUAUAUCAAUAAAUAAAUAAAUAAGGAAGAGAGAGGUGAGGGACUGAGAAUUUUAUCGCAGUGUCUUCGCGAUAAUUAGCACGUCGGCCCCACCCCCAAACUUAUUAUAAAUUAAUAAUUAUAUUAUAUAGAGCAACGAUGCGUAUUCGUACUUUUCAUGACGAAAUAUGGCGAUUAAUCAGAGUCCUAUCAUAUAAUACGUUCCCCCUUUUUUUUUACAAAGUCGAUCAAUCCGUUCAAAAUCUAACCCAUUAGUUACAAUUAAAGCACCAUAAUAUUGGUGUUUUCUAUCCGUCGGCCUCGAUGGGUUAGGUGGGUUGCUUGUUUACGUAUGUUUCUGAUUAGGGAAACCGGUUAUAUUUUUACAUUUGUGAUUAGGCAAACAGUUGCAGUUUUGACGUAUAUGGUUAGCCAAAAUAGUUGCCGGAAUAGGCUGGAAACAAAAACAUGAUGCAACUCUGAAAUGCGAAAAUAUUCCUAAAAAUAAAGAAAUUUUUGUGUUGAGUCACAACAGGGAUCAGAUGGAAGGAGAAUAAUGAAAACAGUGAUAAAGGAGUAAGAUGGACAACAGUGAAGAGACAAGGACAACACGGGCUGCUGGAUGAUCAACAAUUAUAAAUUAAGGUACAAGAGGAUGGUAUAGGAGGACUAUAAAGAACCAGACCUCACUUCCCCGUAGACAUUUAGACAUUAUAAGCGCGAAUUCCUCACUGGGGCAAGAUUAAGCGACUCCCAGGAGAUGGAGACGCCACUGGAGAAAGCCUUCAGGAAGAUUAACAUCAUCUCAUUAUACAUAAGAAAAAUGUAAGGAAAUAUAAGGUUUAUGAAUGAAUAUUUCACAAAACUAGAGAUUUUCCAGCGACCAGCUAGUUGCUUAUACUUGUGUCGUUGAGUUUAUUGAUUUAUUGGUAUUUAUUUAUAUAUAAGAAGGUAUAUUGGGUUUGUUAGAGGAGAUAACAUUGGUGAUUUUACAUUCUUGCAAAGUCACUAACACCUAUGGUAGAUCCGUAUUUGUUCUGCAAGUAUAAAAUAAAAUAAAAUCAAUUGUCAAAAUUCAAAAUGUUUAUUCAGGUAAAAGUACAUACAUAGAAGACGAGUUACAAAUAUAAUAUUGGAUCUAUAGAUAGAGCAAGCACAUACAAUAUCUAAAUACGCAUAUAGCGUUUCGGGGCAAAUCCUUUAAUUUCAAACAUAUUAGAAAAGAAAACAAAAAACUUUUAGUGGUUAAGUCUGUUAAAUACCACGAAUCACAACAAUAAUUUGGGUCACAGGUGAAUAUAACAUCAAUUAUAAUUUAGAAUUAUAACUUUGUUCAUUUCACUAUCUUCACUUCCCCCUCCCUCCCCCCCCCAGGUAACACAAUCAAAGAAAACGGUGAGCGUGUAAGAGGAAGAGAAGUGACGGUGUGACGUCAUCACAACACUGUUCCGAACCUUAAUGGAAUCUGACCCAUAUAUCAAUCAGGUCAACCCAUGUGUUGCGUUGACAAAAGGGUCGCCCAUGUUAGAAUCGGUGAACGCCCUAGUAAUA